AGAGUUUGAUCCUGGCUCAGGAUGAACGCUGGCGGCGUGCCUAAUACAUGCAAGUCGAACGCUUCACUUCGGUGAAGAGUGGCGAACGGGUGAGUAAUACAUAAGUAACCUGGCAUCUACAGGGGGAUAACUGAUGGAAACGUCAGCUAAGACCGCAUAGGUGUAGAGAUCGCAUGAACUCUAUAUGAAAAGUGCUACGGGACUGGUAGAUGAUGGACUUAUGGCGCAUUAGCUUGUUGGUAGGGUAACGGCCUACCAAGGCGACGAUGCGUAGCCGACCUGAGAGGGUGACCGGCCACACUGGGACUGAGACACGGCCCAGACUCCUACGGGAGGCAGCAGUAGGGAAUUUUCGGCAAUGGGGGAAAUCCUGACCGAGCAACGCCGCGUGAAGGAAGAAGUAAUUCGUUAUGUAAACUUCUGUCAUAGAGGAAGAACGGUGGAUAUAGGGAAUGAUAUCCAAGUGACGGUACUCUAUAAGAAAGCCACGGCUAACUACGUGCCAGCAGCCGCGGUAAUACGUAGGUGGCGAGCGUUAUCCGGAAUUAUUGGGCGUAAAGAGGGAGCAGGCGGCACUAAGGGUCUGUGGUGAAAGAUCGAAGCUUAACUUCGGUAAGCCAUGGAAACCGUAGAGCUAGAGUGUGUGAGAGGAUCGUGGAAUUCCAUGUGUAGCGGUGAAAUGCGUAGAUAUAUGGAGGAACACCAGUGGCGAAGGCGACGAUCUGGCGCAUAACUGACGCUCAGUCCCGAAAGCGUGGGGAGCAAAUAGGAUUAGAUACCCUAGUAGUCCACGCCGUAAACGAUG
RNAcentral lists this ribosomal RNA (805 nucleotides) under uncultured bacterium. RNAcentral's name for it is "bacterial SSU rRNA". It matches the Rfam family "Bacterial small subunit ribosomal RNA", at positions 8 to 811 of the family's 1533-position model. The record is from RNAcentral.